GAUGAAGAACGCAGCGAAAUGCGAUAAGUAGUGUGAAUUGCAGAAUUCAGUGAAUCAUCGAAUCUUUGAACGCACAUUGCGCCCCUCGGUAUUCCGUGGGGCAUGCCUGUUCGAGCGUCAUUUAACCCCUCAAGCCUAGCUUGGUAUUGGGUGCUUGUCCCGCCUCUCGCGCGGCGACUCACCUCAAAGUCAUUGGCAGCCCGCAUCUCGCCGGCCGUGAGCGCAGCACAGACGCGCUCUUGGUAACGACGGAUCGGCUCUCCAAAAGCUUAUUUCAACCACUGACCUCGGAUCAGGUAGGGAUACCCGCUGAACUUAAGCAUAUAAUAAGCGGAGGA
RNAcentral lists this unclassified non-coding RNA (338 nucleotides) under soil metagenome. RNAcentral describes it as "partial contains 5.8S ribosomal RNA, internal transcribed spacer 2, and large subunit ribosomal RNA". The stretch from base 1 to 120 matches the Rfam family "5.8S ribosomal RNA", at positions 35 to 154 of the family's 154-position model. The record is from RNAcentral.